Molecule: ribosomal RNA, 449 nt
Filed under: uncultured bacterium
Lineage: Bacteria
Description: partial 16S ribosomal RNA
Rfam family: Bacterial small subunit ribosomal RNA
Source: RNAcentral
AACGAACGCUGGCGGCAUGCCUAACACAUGCAAGUCGAACGAGAUCUUCGGGUCUAGUGGCGCACGGGUGCGUAACGCGUGGGAAUCUGCCCUUUGGUUCGGAAUAACAGUUGGAAACGACUGCUAAUACCGGAUGAUGACGAAAGUCCAAAGAUUUAUCGCCAGAGGAUGAGCCCGCGUAGGAUUAGCUAGUUGGUGUGGUAAAGGCGCACCAGGGCGACGAUCCUUAGCUGGUCUGAGAGGAUGAUCAGCCACACUGGGACUGAGACACGGCCCAGACUCCUACGGGAGGCGGCAGUGGGGAAUAUUGGACAAUGGGCGAAAGCCUGAUCCAGCAAUGCCGCGUGAGUGAUGAAGGCCUUAGGGUUGUAAAGCUCUUUUACCCGGGAUGAUAAUGACAGUACCGGGAGAAUAAGCUCCGGCUAACUCCGUGCCAGCAGCCGCCGUAA